UCCCUGGUGGUCCAGUGGGUAUAACUCUGCAUCCCCAAUGCAGGGGACCUGGGUUUGAUCCCUGAUCAGGGAA
RNAcentral lists this transfer RNA (73 nucleotides) under Bos taurus (domestic cattle). It matches the Rfam family "tRNA". From Rfam's summary of the family: Transfer RNA (tRNA) molecules are approximately 80 nucleotides in length. Their secondary structure includes four short double-helical elements and three loops (D, anti-codon, and T loops). Further hydrogen bonds mediate the characteristic L-shaped molecular structure. tRNAs have two regions of fundamental functional importance: the anti-codon, which is responsible for specific mRNA codon recognition, and the 3' end, to which the tRNAs corresponding amino acid is attached (by aminoacyl-tRNA synthetases). tRNAs cope with the degeneracy of the genetic code in two manners: having more than one tRNA (with a specific anti-codon) for a particular amino acid; and 'wobble' base-pairing, i.e. permitting non-standard base-pairing at the 3rd anti-codon position. RNAcentral also lists the same sequence under 3 other names. Lineage: Eukaryota; Metazoa; Chordata; Mammalia; Artiodactyla; Bovidae. The record is from Rfam by way of RNAcentral.